GUUAAACGAGCACCUCCCUUCUAAGGAGGUGGUCGAAGGUUCGAAUCCUUC
Molecule: transfer RNA, 51 nt
Filed under: Vibrio crassostreae
Lineage: Bacteria; Pseudomonadati; Pseudomonadota; Gammaproteobacteria; Vibrionales; Vibrionaceae
Description: tRNA-Arg
Rfam family: tRNA
About the family: Transfer RNA (tRNA) molecules are approximately 80 nucleotides in length. Their secondary structure includes four short double-helical elements and three loops (D, anti-codon, and T loops). Further hydrogen bonds mediate the characteristic L-shaped molecular structure. tRNAs have two regions of fundamental functional importance: the anti-codon, which is responsible for specific mRNA codon recognition, and the 3' end, to which the tRNAs corresponding amino acid is attached (by aminoacyl-tRNA synthetases). tRNAs cope with the degeneracy of the genetic code in two manners: having more than one tRNA (with a specific anti-codon) for a particular amino acid; and 'wobble' base-pairing, i.e. permitting non-standard base-pairing at the 3rd anti-codon position.
Source: RNAcentral